ACCUGACUGGCUCAGCUGGAAGAGCGUGAGACUCCUGAUGUCAGGGUCGUGGGUUUGAGCCCCAUGUUGGGCA
Non-coding RNA from Neogale vison (American mink), 73 nucleotides. Lineage: Eukaryota; Metazoa; Chordata; Mammalia; Carnivora; Mustelidae. The record is from the annotation of a RefSeq genome assembly.